CUGUCAGCAGUUCAGAGAUUGCCAGGGUCUGCAGGCCAGAGACUGAAAAGUGCUGCAUCAAAGGAUUCGAGUGCUUAAGACAUGGCUGAGAUGCAACUGAGGGUCCAAAGUCCAAAACUGGAAACUCCGCAGGCCUCUCCUACUCACCUCCUGCAUGAUGCUGAGAGUGUCUCUUCUCAACCUGUUUGAUCUUGGAGUCUUUGGGAUUGCUUAUGGAUUACCUCUGCGUCAGUCUGAGCAACCUGGAGUCCGACUGAGGCUGACCAGGACAGGAAUUGGGGUCCUGCAUGAGCUCCUUCGAAGGCUCAGCUUCCCCAGGAUAGGCUCGGGGAUGAGACCUCCUUGCAAAACCUGGCGCUGGCUCCUCUGCAACGGAGCUGCAGGGCACGACACGCCCUCCCUCUCUGCCUGCCAGGACUGGUGUUAAGGCACUUGCCCAAGGCAGUAGGUGUGCUGGGCCCCCUGUCUUCUGUUACCCAGCCUGAAGGAUCCCCACCAUCACCACCACCUCUGGAGCUAGGUCACCGUGCAAAAAAGGUGGGAAGUUGAUAGUGAAGGAAAGCAAACAGUGGCAGGACUUCAGUGGCGGCUGCCACGUUCACUGCUCCUCAUCUGAGAGUCUGGAGCACUCGCUUCUCCCUGGCUGCUACAGAAGCGCUGCUCAGUGGGGUGAGGAUUCCCCUUUGGGGAGCCCAGCGCUGCCCUUGCCCCGCUGCCCAGAGUGACCGGGAUCAAGCCACAGAGACGAUUUCUGACUUUGACUCUCCACAGCCAAAGAGAACCAAGCGCAUAAUUACUUCUGGACUCUUUCGAAAAGCCUCGGAUACUCUGAUGAUGAGCUCAGAAAUGUUUGGAUUAUCAGCUGCUAGUAACGGAGGAGCACAUACCUGCAGCAUCUGUUCUUGGUGAGAUCCCAGGGCUUCCUCACCUCAAGGCGGAGAAGUUAGCAUGGCUGGAGGUGACUGCUAGUGCUGACCGCUGUCCAUGGACUACAGAAAGAGCCUUGGCAGCUGGCUUGGACUUCUGGCUAAAGCAGAUGAGUACUACGCUAAGUGACGUGCCCACGGUCACACAAGAAGUCUGUGGCGGAGUACGGAACAGGAGCGCUGCUUCUGUUUUCCUCAAAACCUCGGACUACUACAAUUACCACCUUUGCAGCCUGCAGGCGAAGCUGGGAGCUGAGCCUAGCGUUAUGGCAUCACUCGUUCCAGCAGGGAGUGAAUUCAGUAAGAGUUUGACUUUUCUGAAGCGAAGCCUUUAGUGUCCUGAGCAUCAGUCUUUCAACCAUCAGAAACGGAGGAGGAGAAAAAUGGAGCUGAGCAUCUCUUUACAGGAAAAAGAGACUGAAACCGCACCCAUUUCUGUCUCCUGUACACCACUCUACAGCUACUGCUCCUGCAUGUAGCCUUCUCCGCUGCUAAAUAAUUCCUGUUCUUCCUCGAUGUGAAAUCCUGCCUCCACUGAAGUCAAUGAAAAUCUUGACAUCAACUUCAACAAGGACUUUGCAUUGAGCUGAAUGAAGCGAGCCUCACCAGAAGGAGACCUAAUUCUGGAUACCCUCAGGAUGAAUAUUUUAGCCGAGGUAAACGCCGUGCGGGGUGUGAAUUUGGUGGAGCGGGGGCUGUUCCCCCCAUACGUAACGGGCUGAGCCUACCUGAGAUGUUGGGUCCUACCCGAGAUGGAGAGCGAUGCACGUACGGGGUCACCCCUAGCCGCUUGCCUGCCCAGCGCCUCCGCUGUCCGCGAGCCCGUCGCGAGGUGACCCCGACACAAAAUCGUUUUUGUCAGGAUGUCACCGAAGCUGGAGCCUGACCGCGGGAGAGGUUUGCACGCAGCUGUCUGACCUCCUUGCAUCCCGCAGAUCAAAGCCCGGCUUCCUAAUUGCAACUUUUAUCACGCUCACCCAAACGCUCGCACAAUAUCCUGGCGGUGUUGCUGGGCCGACAGGCGUUUCGACCACGCACGCGAUUACGGGAGAUUAGCAGAUGUAAAAGCGUGCCUGGGAGACAGGGCAAUGCGUCAUCCCCCUUUAGGACGGGGGAUGCUCGGCUCCGGCAGGGAGGUUUCGGUGCGAAGCUCUUCCCACCUCGCGGGCUAGCAGAUGGCCAUGGGGAGCUUUGGACACAAGCGUGCCCCAAAAUGCCCCAUGCUGGACCAGGACCCCCCUAAGCUCUGCGUCGGAGGCCGGGUCCUGCCGGCCGCUGGGAUUUCUGAAUGAGGGAGCAGCGUCAGGAAAGGUGGAGCGAGGAGAAGAGCUAUUGCGUUGAUCAAAGACGCCGAAGGUCUUCACCGGGGAGGAUUAAAAUAUGCCAAGAACGAGAACUGCCGGGCCUAGGAGCCAGGAUUGCUCACAUGGGGAGAGAGAAACUUGGCUGCGGAUCCCCUGGAACAAAGCAAAAACAGGAAAAUGCAUAGACAUGCCUAGAAAGUCAUAAAAACAAAGUUUAGGUUAAAUACACACAGGGUCCCUUUUCCCUUCGCAGGUUAAGAAAGGGCAGUCUCUGCCUCCAGAGCUCCUGGCAGAAGCAAUCACUCUCGCUUAUUCUCAGGGAGAAAAGCAAAGGUGGAUCACGGCAGUAACCACGGGGCGGCCAGAAAGGGCCGUCACAGGCGCGGAGCCGGGCAGACCCAGGCAGCCCGGGUUGAAAGGACAGCUACGGGGACAACCUUCAACCUGCCGUAUGGCCCAGACCCCUCUGCCGCUGCCUCCUGCAAAGCGUGGGAGAAAGGGGCUGUGGUCUCCCAAGUGUCCUCCCCGGCUCCCCGCUUCGGCUAUUCUCCUUGAGCUAUAGGAUCACAUCUGUACAGCGCUGUAAACACCUACGGGUGAUGUGCCAGGUAAUGCAGACUAGUGCGUUAAGUUCAGAGGAUCCACUUUAUUUUGUAAGCGCUCGGAGUCAGCAGCACUCAACAUUUCAUUAAACUGUCGUGGAGUAAUAAAAAGCAAACAAGGCUUUCAGGUUUGCUGCAAAUGUUUGGGUUAAAAGAAGAAAAAAGUCAGCUGGGAACAAAAAGAACAACUUCUCUUGAUUUCCUCCAGCCCUUCUUUCUGAAUGAGGAUGAUGGCAGGCGGCUCCGACUCCGCGGGACGCUUGGGUGAGUGCCGGCCCUGAAACACAUGUGCUCCCACCGCCGGCGCGACGCCGCCAGAAAUCCCUGUGUCAGUCCUUUCCCAAACUAGACCCGAGCUGUUUGGGUCGCGCAUUGAUUUCUCGGCGAUACUGCAGCAGCGCCGGCGGGAGGAAACUCAUGACGGCCGGUAACCUCGCGUCAGGCGCUCGGUAAAAGAUUCCAGUUAGGAAAUUGUCUCCUUCGGGUUUUGCUUGCAGCGAGUUCACGUCAGCCUCUCGCUGUUUCCUUUCUGCUGUGUACAACUAAUAAAAACAAGACGUUUGUCCACUUUGAUUACAGUGCCUAAUGAAAAACAAGCUUUGAUGUAAUGGAAGGAAAUAAUGUAUUUAGAUAUAUUCUCUGCUCGGAUCAGCCACAGCUAAUAUAAAUCAGGGCACUCAGAAGAUCAGGAAGGGUGUGGAGAACUUAAACUUGACCCCUCACCGCCGUUUUCUGUAACCUUUACAUUAAAUUAACUUUCCUAUUGUUCCAUA
Dromaius novaehollandiae (emu) is the source of this 3605-nucleotide long non-coding RNA. RefSeq lists it as uncharacterized. The transcript has 4 exons. Lineage: Eukaryota; Metazoa; Chordata; Aves; Casuariiformes; Dromaiidae. The record is from RefSeq and is a predicted model, not a curated record.